This 577-nucleotide ribosomal RNA is filed under the name uncultured bacterium. RNAcentral describes it as "bacterial SSU rRNA". It matches the Rfam family "Bacterial small subunit ribosomal RNA", at positions 928 to 1504 of the family's 1533-position model. The record is from RNAcentral.
AGCGGUGGAGCAUGUGGUUUAAUUCGAUGCAACGCGAAGAACCUUUACCUGGUCUUGACAUCCACGGAAGUUUUCAGAGAUGAGAAUGUGCUUUCGGGAACCGUGAGACAGGUGCUGCAUGGCUGUCGUCAGCUCGUGUUGUGAAAUGUUGGGUUAAGUCCCGCAACGAGCGCAACCCUUAUCCUUUGUUGCCAGCGGUCCGGCCGGGAACUCAAAGGAGACUGCCAGUGAUAAACUGGAGGAAGGUGGGGAUGACGUCAAGUCAUCAUGGCCCUUACGACCAGGGCUACACACGUGCUACAAUGGCGCAUACAAAGAGAAGCGACCUCGCGAGAGCAAGCGGACCUCAUAAAGUGCGUCGUAGUCCGGAUUGGAGUCUGCAACUCGACUCCAUGAAGUCGGAAUCGCUAGUAAUCGUGGAUCAGAAUGCCACGGUGAAUACGUUCCCGGGCCUUGUACACACCGCCCGUCACACCAUGGGAGUGGGUUGCAAAAGAAGUAGGUAGCUUAACCUUCGGGAGGGCGCUUACCACUUUGUGAUUCAUGACUGGGGUGAAGUCGUAACAAGGUAACCGUA